This 545-nucleotide ribosomal RNA is filed under the name uncultured bacterium. Its description in RNAcentral is "partial 16S ribosomal RNA". It matches the Rfam family "Bacterial small subunit ribosomal RNA", at positions 355 to 914 of the family's 1533-position model. The record is from RNAcentral.
UGGGGAAUAUUGCACAAUGGGCGAAAGCCUGAUGCAGCAACGCCGCGUGAGUGAUGAAGGUCUUCGGAUUGUAAAGCUCUGUCUUUUGGGACGAUAAUGACGGUACCAAAGGAGGAAGCCACGGCUAACUACGUGCCAGCAGCCGCGGUAAUACGUAGGUGGCGAGCGUUGUCCGGAUUUACUGGGCGUAAAGGGUGCGUAGGCGGAUGUUUAAGUGAAAUGUGAAAUACCCGGGCUUAACUUGGGUGCUGCAUUUCAAACUGUAUAUCUAGAGUGCAGGAGAGGAGAAUGGAAUUCCUAGUGUAGCGGUGAAAUGCGUAGAGAUUAGGAAGAACACCAGUGGCGAAGGCGAUUCUCUGGACUGUAACUGACGCUGAGGCACGAAAGCGUGGGUAGCAAACAGGAUUAGAUACCCUGGUAGUCCACGCCGUAAACGAUGAGUACUAGGUGUAGGAGGUAUCGACCCCUUCUGUGCCGCAGUAAACACAUUAAGUACUCCGCCUGGGAAGUACGAUCGCAAGAUUAAAACUCUAAAGUGAAUUGAC